Molecule: non-coding RNA, 74 nt
Organism: Dermacentor andersoni
Lineage: Eukaryota; Metazoa; Arthropoda; Arachnida; Ixodida; Ixodidae
Source: the annotation of a RefSeq genome assembly
GCCGUGGUAGCUCAAUUGGUAAGAGCAUCGCACGUGUAAUGCGAAAACGUGGGGUUCAUAUCCCACUUGCGGCA